Molecule: unclassified non-coding RNA, 334 nt
Filed under: soil metagenome
Description: partial contains 5.8S ribosomal RNA, internal transcribed spacer 2, and large subunit ribosomal RNA
Rfam family: 5.8S ribosomal RNA (bases 3-120)
Source: RNAcentral
GGUGAAGAACGUAGCGAAAUGCGAUAAGUAAUGUGAAUUGCAGAAUUCAGUGAAUCAUCGAAUCUUUGAACGCACAUUGCGCCCGCCAGUAUUCUGGCGAGCAUGCCUGUUCGAGCGUCAUUUCAACCAUCAAGCCCCAGGCUUGUGUUGGAGCCCUGCGGCUGCCGCAGCCUCCCAAAACCAGUGGCGGGCUCGCUAUCACACCGAGUGCAGUAGUUUACUCUUCGCUCAGGGCGUGUGGCGGGUGCUAGCCGUGAAACCCCCAACUUCUCAAGGUUGACCUCGGAUCAGGUAGGAAUACCCGCUGAACUUAAGCAUAUCAAUAAGCGGAGGA